GUGAGGAAUAUUGGUCAAUGGGCGGGAGCCUGAACCAGCCAAGUCGCGUGAAGGAAGAAGGAUCUAUGGUUCGUAAACUUCUUUUGCAGGGGAAUAAAGUGCGGGACGUGUCCUGUUUUGUAUGUACCCUGAGAAUAAGGAUCGGCUAACUCCGUGCCAGCAGCCGCGGUAAUACGGAGGAUCCGAGCGUUAUCCGGAUUUAUUGGGUUUAAAGGGUGCGUAGGUGGUUUGAUAAGUCAGCGGUGAAAGUUUGCAGCUUAACUGUAAAAAUGCCGUUGAAACUGUCGGACUUGAGUGUAAAUGAGGUAGGCGGAAUGCGUGGUGUAGCGGUGAAAUGCAUAGAUAUCACGCAGAACUCCGAUUGCGAAGGCAGCUUACUAAGCUACAACUGACACUGAAGCACGAAAGCGUGGGGAUCAAACAGGAUUAGAAACCCUUGUAGUCC
RNAcentral lists this ribosomal RNA (445 nucleotides) under uncultured bacterium. RNAcentral describes it as "partial 16S ribosomal RNA". It matches the Rfam family "Bacterial small subunit ribosomal RNA", at positions 354 to 796 of the family's 1533-position model. The record is from RNAcentral.